UACGUAGGGGGCAAGCGUUGUCCGGAAUCAUUGGGCGUAAAGAGCGCGUAGGCGGUCCGGUAAGUCCGCUCUGAAAGUCCGGGGCUCAACCCCGGGAGGCGGGCGGAUACUGUCGGGCUAGAGUCCGGAAGAGGCGAGUGGAAUUCCUGGUGUAGCGGUGAAAUGCGCAGAUAUCAGGAGGAACACCAAUGGCGAAGGCAGCUCGCUGGGACGUGACUGACGCUGAGACGCGAAAGCGUGGGGAGCAAACAGG
RNAcentral lists this ribosomal RNA (253 nucleotides) under uncultured bacterium. RNAcentral describes it as "partial 16S ribosomal RNA". It matches the Rfam family "Bacterial small subunit ribosomal RNA", at positions 524 to 776 of the family's 1533-position model. The record is from RNAcentral.